CCUACGGGCGGCUGCAGUGGUGAAUAUUGGACAAUGGGGGGAACCCUGAUCCAGCCAUGCCGCGUGUGUGAAGAAGGCCCUCGGGUUGUAAAGCACUUUCAGUGAGGAAGAACGCCUGGUGGUUAAUACCCAUCAGGAAAGACAUCACUCACAGAAGAAGCACCGGCUAACUCCGUGCCAGCAGCCGCGGUAAUACGGAGGGUGCGAGCGUUAAUCGGAAUUACUGGGCGUAAAGCGCGCGUAGGUGGCUUGAUAAGCCGGUUGUGAAAGCCCCGGGCUCAACCUGGGAACGGCAUCCGGAACUGUCAAGCUAGAGUGCAGGAGAGGAAGGUAGAAUUCCCGGUGUAGCGGUGAAAUGCGUAGAGAUCGGGAGGAAUACCAGUGGCGAAGGCGGCCUUCUGGACUGACACUGACACUGAGGUGCGAAAGCGUGGGUAGCAAACAGGAUUAGAUACCCGUGUAGUC
This 465-nucleotide ribosomal RNA is filed under the name Vreelandella stevensii. RNAcentral describes it as "partial 16S ribosomal RNA". It matches the Rfam family "Bacterial small subunit ribosomal RNA", at positions 338 to 795 of the family's 1533-position model. The record is from RNAcentral. Lineage: Bacteria; Pseudomonadati; Pseudomonadota; Gammaproteobacteria; Oceanospirillales; Halomonadaceae.